GAACCUCUAUUCCGUAAGAAGAUCAAUGGGCAACUGGUGAUGACUGACACGCUAGAAGCCAGGACUAUAAAGGCAAAAGAUGUACAGUGGAUGCCAACACGGAAAGCAGUCAUUGUAAAAGACGAGGCAGUGGAGCUGAGCAAGCAGAGUGGGGGAGAUUUUAAAAACCAGAAACACGUAAUGGGAUGUUUCAAAAUUGAAUUUGGCCAGUUUAGUGGUAAGACCUUCAAGUGGCUCCUAGAGAAUUCACCUGGUUAUGCUGGGUUUAUUGUGGCUGACACCGAAAAAGAGGAGCCCUCACACAAUGAGGUGUAUGCGAACUAGAUGGCUCUUAAUAAGUAUAUGGAGCUGUUUGAAGAGGGCGUCCAAAUGAUCAAUUCAAAAAGACAGUCAAAGCCAAAAGAAAAGGUGUCCGCUACAUCAGCGGCUUACAAGGAGAUGACAGAUGAAGAACUGCUGAAACAGGCACACAAAUUGAAACUCAGAAAGGUAUGUUUUUGAACAUUUCA
Molecule: long non-coding RNA, 509 nt
Organism: Dreissena polymorpha
Lineage: Eukaryota; Metazoa; Mollusca; Bivalvia; Myida; Dreissenidae
Exons: 3
Source: RefSeq, a predicted model, not a curated record